GACGAACGCUGGCGGCGUGCUUAACACAUGCAAGUCGAACGGAAAGGCCCUGCUUGCAGGGUACUCGAGUGGCGAACGGGUGAGUAACACGUGGGUGAUCUGCCCUGCACUUCGGGAUAAGCCUGGGAAACUGGGUCUAAUACCGGAUAGGAGCCAUUUAUAGUGUGAUGGUUGGAAAGUUUUUUCGGUGUAGGAUGAGCUCGCGGCCUAUCAGCUUGUUGGUGGGGUAAUGGCCUACCAAGGCGGCGACGGGUAGCCGGCCUGAGAGGGUGGACGGCCACAUUGGGACUGAGAUACGGCCCAGACUCCUACGGGAGGCAGCAGUGGGGAAUAUUGCACAAUGGGCGCAAGCCUGAUGCAGCGACGCCGCGUGGGGGAUGACGGCCUUCGGGUUGUAAACUCCUUUCGCUAGGGACGAAGCUUUUUGUGACGGUACCUAGAUAAGAAGCACCGGCUAACUACGUG
RNAcentral lists this ribosomal RNA (465 nucleotides) under uncultured bacterium. RNAcentral's name for it is "partial 16S ribosomal RNA". It matches the Rfam family "Bacterial small subunit ribosomal RNA", at positions 28 to 507 of the family's 1533-position model. The record is from RNAcentral.